This 434-nucleotide ribosomal RNA is filed under the name Stilbops vetulus. RNAcentral describes it as "partial 16S ribosomal RNA". The record is from RNAcentral. Lineage: Eukaryota; Metazoa; Arthropoda; Insecta; Hymenoptera; Ichneumonidae.
GUCUUUAUAAAUUUGAAUAUAAAGUUUAACCUGCCCACUGAUAAUUUUAAAGGCCGCAGUAUUUUGACUGUGCAAAGGUAGCAUAAUCAUUAGGUUUUUAAUUUGAAUCUAGAAUGAAUGGUUGGAUGAAGUAAAAGCUGUUUCUUAAAUAUUAAUUGAACUUUAUUUUUUAGUUAAAAAGCUAAAAUAAGCUGAAAAGACGAGAAGACCCUAUAGAGUUUAAUAAAAUAUUUUUAUUUAAUAAAUUUAUGUUUAAUUAAUUUAUUUUAAGGUGUAUUAUUUUAUUGGGGUGAUAUUUAAAUUUAUAAAACUUUUAAUUUAUCGUUUCAAAAAUUAUUGUAUAGUUGAUCCUUUAAUAUUGAUUAAAAAUUUAAAUUACCUUAGGGAUAACAGCAUAAUAUAUUUAUAAAGUUCUUAUUUAUAAAUUUGAUUAU